UGGGGAAUAUUGGACAAUGGGCGAAAGCCUGAUCCAGCCAUGCCGCGUGUGUGAAGAAGGUCUUCGGAUUGUAAAGCACUUUAAGUUGGGAGGAAGGGCAGUAAGCGAAUACCUUGCUGUUUUGACGUUACCGACAGAAUAAGCACCGGCUAACUCUGUGCCAGCAGCCGCGGUAAUACAGAGGGUGCAAGCGUUAAUCGGAAUUACUGGGCGUAAAGCGCGCGUAGGUGGUUCGUUAAGUUGAAUGUGAAAGCCCCGGGCUCAACCUGGGAACUGCAUCCAAAACUGGCGGGCUAGAGUAGGGCAGAGGGUGGUGGAAUUUCCUGUGUAGCGGUGAAAUGCGUAGAUAUAGGAAGGAACACCAGUGGCGAAGGCGACCACCUGGGCUCAUACUGACACUGUGGUGCGAAAGCGUGGGGAGCAAACAGG
RNAcentral lists this ribosomal RNA (429 nucleotides) under Pseudomonadota bacterium. RNAcentral describes it as "Proteobacteria bacterium partial 16S ribosomal RNA". It matches the Rfam family "Bacterial small subunit ribosomal RNA", at positions 355 to 776 of the family's 1533-position model. Lineage: Bacteria; Pseudomonadati; Pseudomonadota. The record is from RNAcentral.